GGCGGGAUAGCUCAGUUGGUAGAGCAGAGGACUGAAAAUCCUUGUGUCCCUGGUUCAAGCCCGGGUCUUGCCACCA
RNAcentral lists this transfer RNA (76 nucleotides) under Candidatus Omnitrophota bacterium. RNAcentral's name for it is "tRNA-Phe". It matches the Rfam family "tRNA". From Rfam's summary of the family: Transfer RNA (tRNA) molecules are approximately 80 nucleotides in length. Their secondary structure includes four short double-helical elements and three loops (D, anti-codon, and T loops). Lineage: Bacteria; Pseudomonadati; Candidatus Omnitrophota. The record is from RNAcentral.